RNAcentral lists this ribosomal RNA (474 nucleotides) under uncultured bacterium. RNAcentral's name for it is "bacterial SSU rRNA". It matches the Rfam family "Bacterial small subunit ribosomal RNA", at positions 335 to 799 of the family's 1533-position model. The record is from RNAcentral.
ACUCCUACGGGAGGCAGCAGUGGGGAAUAUUGCACAAUGGGGGAAACCCUGAUGCAGCCAUGCCGCGUGUGUGAAGAAGGCCUUCGGGUUGUAAAGCACUUUCAGUAGGGAGGAAGGUAGUGUAGUUAACACCUGCAUUAUUUGACGUUACCUACAGAAGAAGCACCGGCUAACUCCGUGCCAGCAGCCGCGGUAAUACGGAGGGUGCGAGCGUUAAUCGGAAUUACUGGGCGUAAAGCGCAUGCAGGCGGCCUGUUAAGUCAGAUGUGAAAGCCCGGGGCUUAACCUCGGAAUUGCAUUUGAAACUGGCAGGCUAGAGUCUUGUAGAGGGGGGUAGAAUUUCAGGUGUAGCGGUGAAAUGCGUAGAGAUCUGAAGGAAUACCAGUGGCGAAGGCGGCCCCCUGGACAAAGACUGACGCUCAGAUGCGAAAGCGUGGGGGAGCAAACAGGAUUAGAUACCCUGGUAGCACAGAG